GGAUGUGAGGAUGAUUUAACAGCAACAUCUGUCGUCUCACUGAUCUCCAGGGUUGAUUUGGCUGAUCUGGCUGGCUAGGUAGGUGUCCCCUUCCUCCCUCACUGCUUCAUAUGCAUCCCUUUAGAAGCUGAGCACUUGGUCAAAGAGGACUGCCUUUCCCGAAUAGAGGAAGACUGGUCUCCAGUCAAGGGUAUAGGAGUAGCUGCACUCCCGUUAGAACCUCCAUACAAGCUCUUAAGAAACUUACCUUCAGAGGUUGGAGAGAUGGCUUAGAAGUUAAGGGGCUUGCCUGCAAAGCCUAAAGACCCAGGUUUGAUUC
RNAcentral lists this small nuclear RNA (319 nucleotides) under Jaculus jaculus (lesser Egyptian jerboa). RNAcentral's name for it is "7SK RNA (ENSJJAG00000001980.1)". It matches the Rfam family "7SK RNA". From Rfam's summary of the family: 7SK was discovered as an abundant small nuclear RNA in the mid-70s but a possible function has only recently been suggested. Two independent studies have found that 7SK RNA binds the CDK9/cyclin T complex (known as elongation factor P-TEFb). The record is from RNAcentral. Lineage: Eukaryota; Metazoa; Chordata; Mammalia; Rodentia; Dipodidae.